AGCUUAGAUAUGUAAAAUGUAUCUAUCCAGAUAAGUUCACUACAUUUAUCCAUUAUCAUUCUUUUAUAUUCUACAGUCAUAGAGUAUUUGUAGCUGUGAGAUGCAAGGAUAUUGGCCAGACCUUUCUAGAAAAAAUUAAAUUGGGAAACAGAGAGAAGAAGAGAAACCUGUUCUCAUUCUUAAGUCUUCAUAUAAGAAACAAUUGAUGGAAAGGGAAGGAAUGCCAUAGAGGAAUUGCCAGAAGCCAGAGAGGAGAGGCUGUUGCAACUCCGGGCCUCCAUGCCCAACCAAUAGAGAGACCAAGCAAGUGAUCCUAGUAGACACACAGGUACACUUGCAUUUAUAUGUACAAAUGCCUAUAUAUACAUGUAUGAC
RNAcentral lists this long non-coding RNA (375 nucleotides) under Gallus gallus (chicken). Its description in RNAcentral is "lncRNA (ENSGALG00010001041.1)". Lineage: Eukaryota; Metazoa; Chordata; Aves; Galliformes; Phasianidae. The record is from RNAcentral.